Non-coding RNA from Clavulina sp. PMI_390, 124 nucleotides. The record is from the annotation of a GenBank genome assembly. Lineage: Eukaryota; Fungi; Basidiomycota; Agaricomycetes; Cantharellales; Hydnaceae.
UCCUCAAUCGUCUAACGGCUAUGAUGCAGCUCUCUCAUUUGGAGUGUUUCUCUGUCAGGUCCCCUUGAUGGAAAAGCGUUCCAAGGGUCCAGCUGAGGCCAGGGUUCGACUCCCUGUUGGGGAA